RNAcentral lists this long non-coding RNA (538 nucleotides) under Hordeum vulgare. Its description in RNAcentral is "long non-coding RNA (HVUL_LNC002739)". The record is from RNAcentral. Lineage: Eukaryota; Viridiplantae; Streptophyta; Magnoliopsida; Poales; Poaceae.
ACACGCCAGGGCCGGACUGUCGACGGGACCGACUUACGAUCGACAAGCCAGCUAGAACGACGCACAAUGGCCAACGACGUGGAGAACCCGCCGAGUUUCCUACACGACCAGCUCGUGGAGGCGGCAGCGGAGCCUGACGAGUGCGGCAGGUGCACGGUCAUCGUGCUUCUGGCCGUCCUCGCCUUGCCGCUCAUUGCCAUCGCCAUGGUCCUGAUCAAUUUCCACGACAACUCACCUGAAACCAGCAGACUGACUGUCGCCGCGUUGGUCGUCGGGAUCGUAGCCGCCGUCCUCGGCUCGUGUGCCGGGGCUGUGCUCGUGUUUGUCGUCGGAGAGUGGGAACUCGGCAAUCCGGAAGGGUCUAGGCUAGUAGACUAUUUAUUGUCGAUAUAACCGAACCCGGCCGCUCGCGACUCAUCUGUUUACCUAUCUAUGUAUUUUCGAUCGGCUGCGCAGGAUCUGAUUUACUGUUCGAUCAGCAUAUGCAAGUAUUUUGUUACCUUUUCUCCUACUCCCUCUGUAUCUAAAUAAUUGUUGC